RNAcentral lists this ribosomal RNA (497 nucleotides) under uncultured bacterium. RNAcentral describes it as "partial 16S ribosomal RNA". It matches the Rfam family "Bacterial small subunit ribosomal RNA", at positions 28 to 507 of the family's 1533-position model. The record is from RNAcentral.
GAUGAACGCUCGCUGCGUGCCUAAUACAUGCAAGUCGAGCGAACAGACGAUUAACUUGCUCCUCUGACGUUAGCUGCAGACGGGUGAGUAAGACUUGGGUAACCUACCUAUAACACUGGGAUAACUUCGAGAAACCGGAGCUAAUACUGGUUAAUAUAUUUAACCGCUUAGUUCAAUAGUUGAAGACUGUUUUUCUGUCACUUAUAGAUGGAUCCGCGCCGCAUUAGCUAGUUGGUAAGGUAACGGCUUACCAAGGCAACGAUGCGUAGCCGACCUGAGAGGGUGAUAAGCCACCCCGCAUCUGAGCCAAGACACAGACUAAUAUGGGAGGGAGCAGUAGAGAAUCUUCCGCAAUUGGAGAAAGCCUGACGUAGAACCGCCGAGUGACUGAUAAAGUUCUUGGGAUCGUAAAUCUAUGCUACUAGGGAAGAACAAAUGUGUAAGUAACUAUGCACGUCUUGACGGUACCUAACCAGAAAGCAACGGCUAACUCCGUG